UGCUCAGCAACUCCUAUCCCUACCUCUUCGUGGUACCGGUCGGAAACUAUGAGCAACCUUAAGGAAGAUUGGG
This is a non-coding RNA of Aedes albopictus (Asian tiger mosquito), 73 nucleotides long. The record is from Rfam. NCBI's taxonomy places the organism in Eukaryota, Metazoa, Arthropoda, Insecta, Diptera, Culicidae.